GGAGAUAACUCGAAGAAGAGGGGUUGCCCAGGUCCCCUCCGCCACCAGAACGGAGGCCUUUCUCAUCUAAGAAGCACUCCAGGUGGUCACUUGGAAGAACGGGGAGUGUCUCCA
This 114-nucleotide ribosomal RNA is filed under the name Trypanosoma brucei equiperdum. The record is from RNAcentral. Lineage: Eukaryota; Euglenozoa; Kinetoplastea; Trypanosomatida; Trypanosomatidae.